Molecule: ribosomal RNA, 407 nt
Filed under: uncultured bacterium
Lineage: Bacteria
Description: bacterial SSU rRNA
Rfam family: Bacterial small subunit ribosomal RNA
Source: RNAcentral
GAGUUUGAUCCUGGCUCAGGAUUAACGCUGGCGGCGUGCCUAAUACAUGCAAGUCGAACGGAAGUACCUUCGGGUACUUUAGUGGCGAACGGGUGAGUAAUACAUAGGUAACCUACCCUUAAGACGAGGAUAGCCAUUGGAAACGAUGGAUAAAACUGGAUAGGAUAUAGAGGAAGAAUCUUUUAUAUUUAAAAGAGAGAUCUGCUUAAGGAGGGGCCUGUGGCGCAUUAGCUAGUUGGUGGGGUAAGGGCCUACCAAGGCGAUGAUGCGUAGCCGGACUGAGAGGUUGAACGGCCACAAUGGAACUGAGAACGGUCCAUACUCCUACGGGAGGCAGCAGUAGGGAAUUUUCGGCAAUGGGGGGAACCCUGACCGAGCAACGCCGCGUGAACGAAGAAGUUAUUCGU